AGCGAACGCUGGCGGCAGGCUUAACACAUGCAAGUCGAGCGGGCAUCUUCGGGUGUCAGCGGCGGACGGGUGAGUAACGCGUGGGAACGUGCCUUCUGGUUCGGAAUAACUCAGGGAAACUUGAGCUAAUACCGGAUACGCCCUUUUGGGGAAAGGUUUACUGCCGGAAGAUCGGCCCGCGUCUGAUUAGCUAGUCGGUGGGGUAACGGCCUACCAAGGCGACGAUCAGUAGCUGGUCUAAGAGGAUGAUCAGCCACACUGGGACUGAGACACGGCCCAGACUCCUACGGGAGGCAGCAGUGGGGAAUAUUGGACAAUGGGGGCAAGCCUGAUCCAGCCAUGCCGCGUGAGUGAUGAAGGCCUUAGGGUUGUAAAGCUCUUUCAGUAGGGAAGAUAAUGACGGUACCUACAGAAGAAGCCCCGGCUAACUUCGUGCCAGCCGCCGCGGUAA
Molecule: ribosomal RNA, 451 nt
Filed under: uncultured bacterium
Lineage: Bacteria
Description: partial 16S ribosomal RNA
Rfam family: Bacterial small subunit ribosomal RNA
Source: RNAcentral